UCCGUUUUGUCAACUGAAUGUAGCAACUAAUGGCAAGGGUUGCGCUCGUUGCGGGACUUAACCCAACAUCUCACGACACGAGCUGACGACAGCCAUGCAGCACCUGUGUCUAGGUUCCCUUUCGGGCACUCCUGCAUUUCUGCAGGAUUCCUAGCAUGUCAAGGGUAGGUAAGGUUUUUCGCGUUGCAUCGAAUUAAACCACAUCAUCCACCGCUUGUGCGGGUCCCCGUCAAUUCCUUUGAGUUUAAGCCUUGCGGCCGUACUCCCCAGGCGGUCAACUUCACGCGUUAGCUUCGUUACCAAGGAAUUACUUCCCCGACAACCAGUUGACAUCGUUUAGGGCGUGGACUAC
This 352-nucleotide unclassified non-coding RNA is filed under the name uncultured Gammaproteobacteria bacterium. RNAcentral's name for it is "contains 16S-23S intergenic spacer region". Lineage: Bacteria; Pseudomonadati; Pseudomonadota; Gammaproteobacteria. The record is from RNAcentral.